CGAAGGAACGCUACCCCGCGGCGUCCGCGGGCACGGGCGGGCGGGCGCGCCGGCCAUGGAGGCCCUGCGGAGGGUCCACGAGGCCGCGCUGCGGCUGCUGCUGCUGCCGCUGUCCGGCCCCUGGGCUGCGGGCGCCGCCUCCCGCCCGAAGCCCCGCGCGUCCGAGGUGCUGACGCGGCACCUGCUGCAGCGGCGCCUGCCGCACUGGACCUCCUUCUGCGUGCCCUACAGCGCCGUCCGCAACGACCAGUUCGGCCUCUCGCACUUCAACUGGCCCGUGCAGGGCGCCAACUACCACGUCCUGCGCACCGGCUGCUUCCCCUUCAUCAAGUACCACUGCUCCAAGGCCCCCUGGCAGGACCUGGCCCGGCAGAACCGCCUCUUCACGGCGCUCAAGGUCGUCAACCUGGGGAGAUGCCAGCUGACAUGGAUUUUUUCUCUUCGUCCUCUGUGAGGCAUCACAGCGGCCGGAAGGCAGCGCACAGGGGCCCAGCACAGUCACACGCUGCAAGUGGGCAGAGCUCAGCAAAUGGGCUCUUGUGGAAACACAAGGGAAAAGUAUUCCAACUUUGCUGUACGGGCUAGGCUCCUGGCUGUUUGCCAGGGUCACAGAGACUGUCUAUACCAGUUAUGGACCUAUAACAGUUUAUUUUCUGAAUAAAGAAGAUGAAGGUGCCAUGUACUGACAGUGUGCCUGGGAGGAUGUAAACACCUGGCUUUUUCUCUUGUGUGUAUAUGCAAUAUUUAUUUUUGAUCCCUUCAAAAUAAAACUUUUGCAAACACCUUU
This is a non-coding RNA of Oryctolagus cuniculus (rabbit), 787 nucleotides long. Lineage: Eukaryota; Metazoa; Chordata; Mammalia; Lagomorpha; Leporidae. The record is from RefSeq and is a predicted model, not a curated record.